RNAcentral lists this ribosomal RNA (452 nucleotides) under uncultured bacterium. RNAcentral's name for it is "bacterial SSU rRNA". It matches the Rfam family "Bacterial small subunit ribosomal RNA", at positions 8 to 507 of the family's 1533-position model. The record is from RNAcentral.
AGAGUUUGAUCAUGGCUCAGAACGAACGCUGGCGGCAUGCCUAACACAUGCAAGUCGAACGAAGCCUUCGGGCUUAGUGGCGCACGGGUGCGUAACGCGUGGGAAUCUGCCCUUGGGUUCGGAAUAACAGUUAGAAAUGACUGCUAAUACCGGAUGAUGUCUUCGGACCAAAGAUUUAUCGCCCAAGGAUGAGCCCGCGUAGGAUUAGGUAGUUGGUGGGGUAAUGGCCCACCAAGCCGACGAUCCUUAGCUGGUCUGAGAGGAUGAUCAGCCACACUGGGACUGAGACACGGCCCAGACUCCUACGGGAGGCAGCAGUGGGGAAUAUUGGACAAUGGGCGAAAGCCUGAUCCAGCAAUGCCGCGUGAGUGAUGAAGGCCUUAGGGUUGUAAAGCUCUUUACCAGGGAUGAUAAUGACAGUACCUGGAGAAUAAGCUCCGGCUAACUCCGUG